This is a long non-coding RNA of Brassica napus (rape), 922 nucleotides long. RefSeq lists it as uncharacterized. The transcript is spliced from 2 exons. The record is from RefSeq and is a predicted model, not a curated record. Lineage: Eukaryota; Viridiplantae; Streptophyta; Magnoliopsida; Brassicales; Brassicaceae.
UUUAUAAUUCUAAUAGACCAUAUAUAAAUAUAUAAUUUUUUAAAUAAUUAUUGCUUACUAUUUAAUCGAUUUAUGUGAUCAUAUUUUGAACCGGCCCAAUUUGGAACUGAAAGUUUUUAUUAAUUUUAUCGAGUAUUAAUUUAUAAAUUUUCUACUGUAUAUACUUUGGAAAAUAAUUAGCUUAAUAUUUUUUUUUCAACAAUUAGUUUAAUAUUUCAACUUUGGAAAAUUACCACGGUUAAUGUAAAAAAAUCCCAGUGACUCACUGCUUACGUGGAUAGAACAGGGACCCACAUAAAACAGAUUUUCUCACUCUCUCUCUCCCCUGUCCGAAUCAAAAUCCGGUGAUCCGAAGCGGAGGGAAUAAAAUAUCAUUGGUGGACUUAUAGUCGAGUUCUCCCCAAGUUUUCUGAAUCGGGCGGGUGGCGAUUUGACCGUCCGCGAUGGCGGAGUUAGGGAUGAAUCGUUCAUUUCACUCAAGGAGCUCGUGGAAAAGGCUAAGUCCACGGAGCUUUCUGAUACUGAUAAGAAGUUUAGCAUCUUGAAGUAUAUCGUCAAGACUCAGUAGCGGAUGCUUCGGCUCAAUGCGCUUGCGUGUAAACAGAGAAUCUUUACCUGCGAACGUUCUGAAACUUAACAUAUUUAAGGAGCACCGGUUUUCCCUGUAAAUGGAUUGCAACAGAGACGUCUCAAGACAAAUGGCCAAAACAUGUCAUUAAAUGAAUAAAAGUUAAGAGUUUUCAGUUCUCGCAUUAAGGGGUUUUUGUUUGUUGUAUUUGAAUAGAUUUGAAAAUCCGAACUAAAUCUAGUGUUAUUGGUUCUGUGAUUUUAAAAUCUGUAUUAAAAUCAUGUGUUAUUGGUUUAAUGAUUCAUAAAUUCUAUAUUAAAUUAAGUGUUAUUUAAUCAUACGGAUUUACUAAUA